UAAGGGUUGCAAAGUUGAAAACAUAAUACUUAUUAUUGUGUUUUAGGAAAGUCCUAAGUGUAGUAAAUAUACAGAAUGGAUUAAACUAUGACAUAUUUACAGAAAUAUUAUACUUGAACUUAGAAUGUUUACGUAUCGAACUGAAGUCUAUACACACUCACAUGCGCUUAUUCAGAUUCUUAACAAUUAAUCAACUUAAUAUCUUCCCUAUCCUUUUAACUGGUAAAAUGGUAGCUAGAUAUACAGAAUUAGGCUUAUAGCAACCCUUA
RNAcentral lists this non-coding RNA (269 nucleotides) under Microbotryum cf. violaceum BFL-2013. The record is from RNAcentral. Lineage: Eukaryota; Fungi; Basidiomycota; Microbotryomycetes; Microbotryales; Microbotryaceae.